GCGGUUGCCUCCUAAAGAGUAACGGAGGCGCCCAAAGGUUCCCUCAGCCUGGUUGGCAAUCAGGUGUUGAGUGUAAGUGCACAAGGGAGCUUGACUGUGAGACCGACGGGUCGAGCAGGGACGAAAGUCGGGACUAGUGAUCCGGCGGUGGCUUGUGGAAGCGCCGUCGCUCAACGGAUAAAAGGUACCCCGGGGAUAACAGGCUGAUCUUCCCCAAGAGUCCAUAUCGACGGGAUGGUUUGGCACCUCGAUGUCGGCUCGUCGCAUCCUGGGGCUGGAGUCGGUCCCAAGGGUUGGGCUGUUCGCCCAUUAAAGCGGUACGCGAGCUGGGUUUAGAACGUCGUGAGACAGUUCGGUCCCUAUCCGCUGUGCGCGUAGGAGUCUUGAGAAGGGCUGUCCCUAGUACGAGAGGACCGGGACGGACGAACCUCUGGUGUGCCAGUUGUUCUGCCAAGGGCAUGGCUGGUUGGCUACGUUCGGGAGGGAUAACCGCUGAAAGCAUCUAAGCGGGAAGCCUGCUUCGAGAUGAGGACUCCCACCCACUUGAUGGGGUAAGGCUCCCAGUAGACGACUGGGUUGAUAGGCCGGAUCUGGAAGCACCGUGAGGUGUGGAGGUGACCGGUACUAAUAGGCCGAGGGCUUGUCCUCAGUUG
This 653-nucleotide ribosomal RNA is filed under the name Streptomyces diastaticus. Its description in RNAcentral is "partial 23S ribosomal RNA". It matches the Rfam family "Bacterial large subunit ribosomal RNA", at positions 2279 to 2925 of the family's 2925-position model. Lineage: Bacteria; Bacillati; Actinomycetota; Actinomycetes; Kitasatosporales; Streptomycetaceae. The record is from RNAcentral.